AGAGUUUGAUCAUGGCUCAGGAUGAACGCUGACAGAAUGCUUAACACAUGCAAGUCUACUUGAUUCUACUUCGGUAGUUGAUGGUGGCGGACGGGUGAGUAACGCGUAAAGAAUCUGCCCUUUAGUUUGGGAUAACCUUUGGAAACGAAGGCUAAUACCGGAUAUUAUGGAGACGUCGCAUGACGACUCCAUGAAAGCUAUAUGCGCUAGAGGAGGACUUUGCGUCCCAUUAGUUAGUUGGUGAGGUAAUGGCUCACCAAGACCGCGAUGGGUAGCCGGCCUGAGAGGGUGAUCGGCCACAAGGGAACUGAGACACGGUCCUUACUCCUACGGGAGGCAGCAGUGGGGAAUAUUGGACAAUGGGCCACAAGCCUGAUCCAGCAAUUCUGUGUGCACGAUGAAGGUCUUCGGAUUGUAAAGUGCUUUCAGUAGGGAAGAAAAAAAUGACGGUACCUACAGAAGAAGCGACGGCUAAAUAUGUGCCAGCAGCCGCGGUAAUACAUAUGUCGCAAGCGUUAUCCGGAUUUAUUGGGCGUAAAGCGCGUCUAGGCGGUUUAUUAAGUCUGAUGUGAAAAUGCGGGGCUCAACUCCGUAUUGCGUU
Molecule: ribosomal RNA, 601 nt
Filed under: uncultured bacterium
Lineage: Bacteria
Description: bacterial SSU rRNA
Rfam family: Bacterial small subunit ribosomal RNA
Source: RNAcentral